Molecule: ribosomal RNA, 950 nt
Filed under: uncultured bacterium
Lineage: Bacteria
Description: bacterial SSU rRNA
Rfam family: Bacterial small subunit ribosomal RNA
Source: RNAcentral
GAUGAACGCUAGCGGGAGGCUUAACACAUGCAAGUUGAGGGGCAGCAUAGGGUAGCAAUACCCUGAUGGCGACCGGCAGACGGGUGAGUAACGCGUAUGUAACCUACCCUGUACAGGGGGAUAACCCGGAGAAAUUCGGACUAAUAUCCCAUAGUAAUAUCCGGAGGCAUCUUUGGAUAUUUAAAGUUCCGGCGGUACGGGAUGGGCAUGCGUAACAUUAGCUAGUUGGUAAGGUAACGGCCUACCAAGGCUAUGAUGUUUAGGGGUCCUGAGAGGGUGAUCCCCCACACUGGUACUGAGACACGGACCAGACUCCUACGGGAGGCAGCAGUGAGGAAUAUUGGUCAAUGGGCGCAAGCCUGAACCAGCCAUCCCGCGUGCAGGAAGACGGCCCUAUGGGUUGUAAACUGCUUUUCCAGGGAGAGAAACCUGCGCACGUGUUGCGCAAUUGACGGUACCCUGGGAAUAAGCAUCGGCUAACUCCGUGCCAGCAGCCGCGGUAAUACGGAGGAUGCAAGCGUUAUCCGGAUUCAUUGGGUUUAAAGGGUGCGUAGGCGGACUAUUAAGUCAGUGGUGAAAGCCUGCAGCUUAACUGCAGAACUGCCAUUGAUACUGAUAGUCUUGAGUUUGGUUAAGGUAGGCGGAAUGUGUAAUGUAGCGGUGAAAUGCUUAGAUAUUACACAGAACACCAAUUGCGUAGGCAGCUUACUGAGCCGACACUGACGCUGAGGCACGAAAGCGUGGGGAUCGAACAGGAUUAGAUACCCUGGUAGUCCACGCCGUAAACGAUGAUUACUCGCUGUUGGCGAUACACUGUCAGCGGCUAAGCAAAAGCAAUAAGUAAUCCACCUGGGGAGUACGGCCGCAAGGUUGAAACUCAAGGAAUUGACGGGGGCCCGCACAAGCGGAGGAACAUGUGGUUUAAUUCGAUGAUACGCGAGGAACCUUAC